GUGGGGAAUCUUGCGCAAUGGACGAAAGCCUGACGCAGCCAUGCCGCGUGGAUGAUGAAGGUCUUAGGAUUGUAAAAUCCUUUCACCGGUGAAGAUAAUGACUGUAGCCGGAGAAGAAGCCCCGGCUAACUUCGUGCCAGCAGCCGCGGUAAUACGAAGGGGGCUAGCGUUGCUCGGAUUUACUGGGCGUAAAGGGCGCGUAGGCGGACAUUUAAGUCAGGGGUGAAAUCCCGGGGCUCAACCUCGGAACUGCCUUUGAUACUGGGUGUCUUGAGUAUGAGAGAGGUGUGUGGAACUCCGAGUGUAGAGGUGAAAUUCGUAGAUAUUCGGAAGAACACCAGUGGCGAAGGCGACACACUGGCUCAUUACUGACGCUGAGGCGCGAAAGCGUGGGGAGCAAACAGGAUUAGAAACCCUAGUAGUCC
This 425-nucleotide ribosomal RNA is filed under the name uncultured bacterium. RNAcentral's name for it is "partial 16S ribosomal RNA". It matches the Rfam family "Bacterial small subunit ribosomal RNA", at positions 354 to 796 of the family's 1533-position model. The record is from RNAcentral.